This 240-nucleotide ribosomal RNA is filed under the name uncultured bacterium. RNAcentral describes it as "partial 16S ribosomal RNA". It matches the Rfam family "Bacterial small subunit ribosomal RNA", at positions 15 to 244 of the family's 1533-position model. The record is from RNAcentral.
GAUCCUGACUCAGGAUGAACGCUAGCGGCAGGCCUAACACAUGCAAGUCGAGGGGCAGCGGGAAUUGAGCUUGCUCAAUUUGCCGGCGACCUGCGCACGGGUGCGUAACGCGUAUGUAACCUACCCUGAACUGGGGAAUAACACUGAGAAAAGGUCGGUACUAAUACCCCAUAAUACACUGGAAGGCAUCUUUUGGUGUUGAAAGCUCCGGCGGUUCAAGAUGGACAUGCGUUGUAUUAG